GACGAACGCUGGCGGCGUGCUUAACACAUGCAAGUCGAACGAUGAACCCGGAGCUUGCUCCGGCGGAUUAGUGGCGAACGGGUGAGUAACACGUGAGUAACCUGCCCUUGACUCUGGGAUAACUGCGGGAAACUGUAGCUAAUACCGGAUACGACCCUCGGCGGCAUCGCCAGGGGGUGGAAAGAAUUUCGGUCAGGGAGGGACUCGCGGCCUAUCAGCUAGUUGGUGAGGUAACGGCUCACCAAGGCGACGACGGGUAGCCGGCCUGAGAGGGUGACCGGCCACACUGGGACUGAGACACGGCCCAGACUCCUACGGGAGGCAGCAGUGGGGAAUAUUGCACAAUGGGCGCAAGCCUGAUGCAGCAACGCCGCGUGAGGGAUGACGGCCUUCGGGUUGUAAACCUCUUUUAGUAGGGAAGAAGCGAAAGUGACGGUACCUGCAGAAAAAGCACCGGCUAACUACGUGCCAGCCGCCGCAGUAA
RNAcentral lists this ribosomal RNA (484 nucleotides) under uncultured bacterium. RNAcentral's name for it is "partial 16S ribosomal RNA". It matches the Rfam family "Bacterial small subunit ribosomal RNA", at positions 28 to 523 of the family's 1533-position model. The record is from RNAcentral.